Dermacentor albipictus is the source of this 525-nucleotide long non-coding RNA. RefSeq lists it as uncharacterized. The record is from RefSeq and is a predicted model, not a curated record. NCBI's taxonomy places the organism in Eukaryota, Metazoa, Arthropoda, Arachnida, Ixodida, Ixodidae.
UGAGGAGAGCUGCCAAAGCAAACAGCGCACAACUUAAACUGAUGCGGAGAAGCGUGCUCUAAUUAAUAUAUGCGAGGACGUCUUCGCGGAUCUGCGCGUCACCAAAAGAAAUCUCAAGGCUUAAAUGGCUAUAUCUGAACGUCUCCAUGCAGUGGGCGUCCGGAAGAGCACAAAGGAAGUGAAGAAAAAGAUCCAGAAUAUGAGCAACAAAUACAGGCUACUGACCAGGACCUGCACGAAGACCGGGUCAGGAGGCGUACCACGGAAGUUUUAUUGGGACCUCCACCAUUUUCUUGGCUCCCUUCCAGCGAAUGAUGCCAGCCUUAUGAAGGAAACUGGCUGUAGUACUAUGAUGGCGCCUCUCCAGAGGAGCUGUUCAAUGGCAUGGUGCAUGGUGGAGUGAGCCAGCCCCCGGAUACACCUACAGAUUCACUACUUUCUGAGCCAAGCUCAGAGUCUCUCGAAGUGGAAGUCUCCCCGCUUGACUCUACCGCUGAAGAACCUGCAGCCUCUAGACCAACGACU